Molecule: long non-coding RNA, 2423 nt
Filed under: Sus scrofa (pig)
Lineage: Eukaryota; Metazoa; Chordata; Mammalia; Artiodactyla; Suidae
Description: lncRNA (ENSSSCG00045009683.1)
Source: RNAcentral
UUUUGCUACAUUCCACACUGCAGGAGGUCAGCCCGGAAUAAGCUUCCCAGAAUUGAAAUUAAGAUCCUUCACUCUGGAGUUCCCGUCGUGCGUGGCUCAGUGGUUAACGAACCCCGACUAGCAUCCAUGAGGACGUGGGUUCGAUCCCUGGCCUCACUCAGUGGGUUAAGGAUCUCGCGUUGCCGUGAGCUGUGGUGGAGGUCACAGACACAGCUCAGAUCUGGCAUUGCUGUGGCUGUGGUGUAGGCUGCAGCUGUAGCUCUGAUUAGACCCCUAGCCUGGGAACCCCAUAUGUCGUGGGUGCAGGCCUAAAAAAACAAAAGCCAAAAUAAUGAAAAUAAUAAUUACACCAAGGCAGCUGGUACUAACUGGAACAUGUUCUACUUAGAUGCAAAAAAAUUAAAAGAUUCAAUUCCUGAUUUCAGGGAACUUUCUGGCCACAUGAUGAGUCAAAGCCCCCAAACCCACAUACUUGAGUCAAUUAAAGAAUCAAGUAAAGGUAAAUUAUUAAGAAGGAAAGCAAAGCACAUUUUGUGUUUCCCCCUAGAGAUUGUAUUCUCUUUAAGAGAAAAUAAGUCUUUUUUGUCCUUGUAUUAUUCAUGGCCCCAGAAGUGUUUUGGCUUAAAUAGGGUGUCAGUGAAGAUGUGACGAAUAAAUGAACGAGAGAAUGAAUAAUACAAACUCUCCUGGAGGGAAUGUCUAAAAAAGAGGGGAAAAAGUCCCCUGGCUUGGAUUUAUGAAUUUGAGGCAAGUAUAGAUCUUUUCUAAAAAUGUAUUUUUUUGCUCAGUCAUAACAACAAUAAUGAUCAUUUAAAAGGGAAAAAGGAGUUCCCGUUGUGGCUCAGCAGGUUAAGAACCUGACAUAGGGUCUGUGAGGACAGGAGUUUGCUCCCUGGCCUUGAUCAGGGGGUUAAGGAUCCAUCGUUGCCACAAACUGGCAUAGGUUGCAAAUGAGGCUCAGAUCUGAUUCCUGGCCCAGUAACUCCACACGCGGUGCGAGGCGGCCAAGAAAAAUAAAUUAAUUAAAAUAAAUUACAAAGUAAAAAGAACAAAGCAAAUAACCUACAGUCUGUGGACUCUUAAGCUGGAUUUUUGCAAAUGGGAAAGGCGGACAAAAGCUGGAGGAAUGACUGCAAGGAGGGAAGAUGCCUGAGAGGGAGUCUGGCAUCACAGCCCAUGUCUGUAUCCUACAAGAGGUGAACAAAUUUGAAGACUCAAAAGAUGUGGUUCCUACCCCCAAGGGGUUUCCAGUCUUUGGGGGAAAAAAUAAAAACAGUUUUUAAUAACCUUUAACUGGUUGUAUGCCCUUGGGCAAGUCCGUUCCCUCCCUGGUGUCCUUCAGCCUUCUGGCUCAAAAUUUCUCUGAUCUUUCAAUCCUACAAUCCUGGAAGCUUCCUGGAAUUGGUGGGCUAGGAGCUAGGCCUUGAAGGAAGGAGCAAGAUUUGGAGAAAAGAGCCAGUCCUGAGGUGGGCUGGAGUCUUCCAGCUGAGAUAAAAUGGGACAGGGUGCCUUGGCCUUCUUGAAGGAGAACUUUAAAAGCCAGGCUGGUUGACUUUUAAAUUUGACCUGAUAAGCAGGUCCUUGGGCUGGAGAUGAAAGGAGUGUCUCUGAGAGAUUAAUCUGAUGGCUCUGGGCCACUGAUCCUGGAUCUAUCUGGAAGUGGGGUGAAGACUUGGAGGUUCUCAGAGUGGCUUUUGCAAGAGUAAUGUGGGCCCAGCCUUUCAGAGAGGGUUUGAAGCGCCUUCUGUCAAUCAUAUGAUACACGUGGCUUCGGUAGAGUUUCAUUUUCCUUAACCACAAGUAGUUUAAACCUUUUUUUUUUUUUAUUAUUAUUAUUUUUAUUUUUAUCUUUUUGUGUUUUAGGGCCGCACAGGCCACAUAUGGAGGUUCCCAGGCUAGGGGUUGAAUUGGAGCUGUAACUGCCGGCCUACACCAGAGCCACAGCAACUUGGGAUUCAAGCCUCGUCUGUGACCUAUACCACAGCUCACAGCAAUGCCGGAUCCUUAACCCACUGAGCGAGGCCAGGGAUUGAACCUGCAUCCUUAUGGAUGCCAGUCGGGUUCAUUAACCGUUUAGCCACAACGGGAACUCCUAAACCAUUAUUUUUAUUCUCAUCUAAAAAAAUUUUUUUUAUUAAAAAAAAAAAAAUUGGCCCUGCCUAUAUCAUGGGGAAAUUCCCCAUGCCAGAGACUGAACCUGCACCACAGCUGUAACCGGAGCCACAGCAGUGACGAUGCUGGAUACUUAACCUGCUGAGCCAUGAGGGAAAUCCAAAAGCAUUAUUCUUAUAUUACAGUCAUUAUGGACCAGAUGCCAAAUAGAUAUAUGUUUCUAAGACACGAUAUUAGACUUCAGAUUCAUUUCAGGUUUGCAGAAGUCAAUUUUAGGUUAUGCAGCCAGAUUCCUCAGAGAGGUGAAUUCU